CUGGGAGAGCACCUGCCUUGCACGCAGGGGGUCAAGAGUUCGAAUCUCUUUAUCUCCA
RNAcentral lists this transfer RNA (58 nucleotides) under Anaerococcus lactolyticus ATCC 51172. It matches the Rfam family "tRNA", at positions 15 to 71 of the family's 71-position model. Rfam says of the family: Transfer RNA (tRNA) molecules are approximately 80 nucleotides in length. Their secondary structure includes four short double-helical elements and three loops (D, anti-codon, and T loops). The record is from Rfam by way of RNAcentral. Lineage: Bacteria; Bacillati; Bacillota; Tissierellia; Tissierellales; Peptoniphilaceae.